GAAGAUGUCAAAGCGGUGUUUUUAGGUCCGGGUGGAGGGUCAGCACAGGGACACUUGCACGUGUUAAUAGACGUGACACACGACCUCCAAUAACUCUAAUUAUCCACUAACUCAUCUUAUUGUCAUUUAUUUAACUUAUUAACGCUUUCCGCCGAGUUUCGACCCCCAGAUUGAAUUUCAGCUGGGGGAGGACAUGAAAUAGCGAAUGGAGUUGUAACACAUUUUUUUUUUGUCUUUAUCUUGUCUCAGAUAAACAGACUGGAGAUCUGAAACUCAACUUGUAAACUCAGCUUUUCCUUUAGGCUGUAGACAAGUUGAAUGCUCACGAGGUCCUUUCUGAAAGCGCUGAAUGAUUCAAAGGAGAGUGGGGGGAAAGAAGUAGGCGAGUUUCAGUCCCAUAAAGUUAAGGUUACAGCACUUUGGAGGUGAAGUUGUGCUCCAUGAGUGGCAACUUUGAGAAAAAACUGGGUGAAUAUGGUCGAUAAACGAGCGCUGGGAGACAGUAAAGUAAACUCGGAGCAAAGUAAAGCGGACUUGGAGAACCAUGACAAGGAGCUGGAGGCAGCGGGAGACGCGGCGCGGCUCCCCGGCGAGCAGGCGUCGGAGGACGGCCACGGAGCUCCGCCGGAGACGCGCCUGUACAAGCGCCGCUGGAUGAUGGUGCUCAUGUUCAGCUCCUAUUCGCUGUGCAACUCCUACCAAUGGAUCCAGUACGGCAUCAUCGGCAAUAUUUUCAUGAAGUUCUACAACGUGGAGUCGUUCACCAUAGACUGGAUGUCCAUGAUCUACAUGCUGACAUACAUCCCGUUCAUCUUCCCGGUCACCUGGCUGCUGGACAAGAAGGGGCUGCGGGUGGUGGCGCUGGCCGCCACGGCGCUCAACUGCGCCGGGACGUGGAUCAAGGUGGCCAGCGUCCGCCCGGACCUGUUCCCCGUCACCUUCCUGGGGCAGUUCUGCUGCUCCUGCGCGCAGGUCUUCAUCCUGGGCAUGCCGUCCAGAAUCGCCUCAGUGUGGUUCGGCUCGGAGGAAGUGUCCACCGCCUGCUCCAUCGGAGUCUUUGGGAAUCAGCUGGGGAUUGCCAUCGGAUUCCUCAUGCCCCCCAUCCUGGUGCCUAAUGGCGAUGACAUGGAUGAGCUGGCUCAGCAUAUCAGAGUGAUGUUUUACAUAACAGCUGGAGUGGCAACAUUUCUCUUCAUUCUCGUUGUUUUUGUUUUCCAGGAGCGUCCAAAACUUCCUCCAACUCAGGCCCAGGCCACAGCUCGCAGCAUCCCACCUGAGCAGUACUCCUACAUGGCCUCCAUCCUCAGACUACUGCGCAACAGGCCCUUCCUCCUCCUCAUCCUCACAUAUGGUCUGAAUGUGGGUUGUUUCUACGCUGUCGGGACCCUGCUGAACCGCAUGAUCAUCUUACAUUACCCUGGAGAAGAGGUGAAUGCUGGGAGGAUUGGCCUCACUAUCGUCAUUGCGGGGAUGCUUGGCUCCCUCAUCUGCGGCGUCUGGCUCGACAGAACUAAAACGUACAAGCAGACGACUCUGGCCGUCUACUUCAUGUCUCUGGUUGGGAUGAUCGUCUACGCCGCCACACUCAGUCUGGGACACCUCUGGGUGGUUUUCAUCACAGCUGGAUCUCUUGGGUUCUUUAUGACGGGCUACUUGCCUCUGGGCUUUGAGUUUGCAGUUGAACUGACGUACCCAGAGUCGGAGGGAACUUCUUCUGGAAUGCUGAACUGUUCAGCACAGGUGUUCGGCAUCAUAUUCACCAUCUGCCAGGGGAAGAUCAUCGACAAUUUCGGCACGCUGCCAGGAAACAUCUUCUUGUGCGUUUUCCUUCUAAUAGGCACAAUAAUGACAGGUUUAAUUAAGUCCGACCUCCGGAGACAGAACGCAAAUCUACGGGCCAAAGCAGAAGCGGAGGGGCAGAUGCCGGGACCAGACUACGGAGCAACAGCACUAAUCUCCCAGCAGCAGACUCCCCCUUCUCAAGCCUGAUCAAUAAAACUUUUCUGUUUUAAACAAAAUCUGCUCAAAUCUUAGCCUGACACAGAGCAGCACAAAGGUACCGUCCAGCUGUGAAAGUGGAAGUCCAGAUGCACCUUCAGUCAUCGGAGACGUCCAGUUUUAGACACCAACAAUGAGCCUCUGAAAUAACCUUCAUUACAAUACUGUAACAGUAACCAGAAACGUUUUAGAUACGCUUCUUUCCUAACAACCAUAGUUUCAUAUAAGUCAUUGAUCAGAAGUCUCUUUUUAUAUUUACCUGUGAAUUAAGUGAUUUCACUAAACCUGCGAGACAAAUCAGAGAAGCAGCUGACUCUUGACAGAGUUAUCCGACAAUUAAGUGCAGUUAAUUAUUUCAGGUAUACACAUACACAGUUGUUAGACACUACGUUUGUCAUUGCAUACACACUGGUUCAUGUAAAUACUGUACAUGUUUUUUUUUGUUUUUUUUAUUCCGGAUUUUUUUUCCCAUUUUUACCACCCAGUGCUCCUACCUAAGUCAGUCCUGGGCAUUGCUCACCCUCUACCAGGGCCAUACUGAGCUCAAGUCUCCUCCUUAACUUGAGGAGUGAACCGGCCGCUUCUUUUCACCAGAAAGGCCCUUUCGCCAAUCCCACCCAGGGUGUGGGUGCUGAAGUCAUGGGGGAACUUAACACGCACUCAGCACCCACAGCGUCCCAGGGACUUCUAGCUGUGAGACGGCCCCCCCCACUCUACAUGUUUUUAUGAUAGAAGAUUGUGACUAGAUUUCUAAUUCAUGCCAGUAAGGGAAACAGAAACGAUAUUUUGUAGUUGUGCUGGUUGACACUAUUCAUGUUUUUAUUUAACAUGAAAUAAAACUAUUUUAUAAAGCUUCCUUUUGAAUAAUUUUUUACAUUACUAUAAAGUAUAUUUAAGAUGAGCUAUACCCAAUGCGAUGUUAAGAAUGACAUAUUUGCACAGAUCUGCAGUUUUAUCAUUCUUUUACCAGAAUACAGAUGGUAUUAAUUAAAUAUAGGGAAUGUUUAAUGUUUAAUAUGUUGCUGUUUGAUAGGAAAUGAGCCCCAAGCAUGCAUGCAAACAUGAGCGAUAUCUCAAAUGUUAUCAGGGAAUCAAGAUUAAACUGCUGAUGGAAAGAUGAAGAUUGAUGCAGGUUUUGUAGGAGAUUGUGUGACUCGUCUGAUUCUAAAAUGAGUGAAUGAAACAGCAAACAGAUGUUGGGUAAUCCUUCAGUCCAAUCUUAGCAAUAAUCGAUCAGCACAAUCUUUAGAAGUUGUUGUGAUAAAAUAAAACAUUAGCCACACUGCCAUGUGCUCACAACUGUAUAAUUUCCUUUUCGUUUUUUUUUUAAACAAAUGGUUUACACGUCACAUGACAUGUUUAGCAGCACUGUGUGUAACUGUUUUGACCACAUGGGGGCAGCAUUGCAACAUAAUAAAAGACUCAGCAGAGCUUGACAUGAGGGGCAGAAAGGAACAAAAACAUUGCGUGCUGUUGAUUUGAACGUCAAAACAAAUGCUCAUUGUUUUAACAUCAACUUUGAUCAUGUAGGGCACAGAUGACCCCCCCCCCCCC
This is an RNA transcript of Cololabis saira (Pacific saury), 3552 nucleotides long. It is a transcript of the gene named heme transporter FLVCR2-like, with no coding region annotated. NCBI's taxonomy places the organism in Eukaryota, Metazoa, Chordata, Actinopteri, Beloniformes, Belonidae. The record is from RefSeq and is a predicted model, not a curated record. The transcript is spliced from 11 exons.